This 262-nucleotide ribosomal RNA is filed under the name uncultured bacterium. RNAcentral's name for it is "partial 16S ribosomal RNA". It matches the Rfam family "Bacterial small subunit ribosomal RNA", at positions 337 to 616 of the family's 1533-position model. The record is from RNAcentral.
UCCUACGGGAGGCAGCAGUGGGAAAUAUUGGGCAAUGGGCGCAAGCCUGAGGCAGCAACGCCGCGUGCGGGACGAAGGCCCUCGGGUCGUAAACCGCUUUCAGCAGGGAAGACCACGACGGUACCUGCAGAAGAAGCUCCGGCUAACUACGUGCCGGCAGCCGCGGUAAUACGUAGGGGGCGAGCGUUAUCCGGAUUCAUUGGGCGUAAAGCGCGCGUAGGCGGCCGCCUAAGCGGAACAUCUAACCCCGGGGCUCAACCUC